This 253-nucleotide ribosomal RNA is filed under the name uncultured bacterium. RNAcentral's name for it is "partial 16S ribosomal RNA". It matches the Rfam family "Bacterial small subunit ribosomal RNA", at positions 524 to 776 of the family's 1533-position model. The record is from RNAcentral.
UACGAGGGGGGCGAGCGUUGUUCGGAAUUAUUGGGCGUAAAGGGUGCGUAGGCGGUCUGGUAAGUCUGACGUGAAAUCUCCGGGCCUAACCCGGAAACUGCGUCGGAUACUAUCCGGCUAGAGGAUUGGAAGGGAGACUGGAAUACUUGGUGUAGCAGUGAAAUGCGUAGAUAUCAAGUGGAACACCAGUGGCGAAGGCGAGUCUCUGGACAAUUCCUGACGCUGAGGCACGAAAGCCAGGGGAGCAAACGGG